This 468-nucleotide ribosomal RNA is filed under the name uncultured bacterium. Its description in RNAcentral is "partial 16S ribosomal RNA". It matches the Rfam family "Bacterial small subunit ribosomal RNA", at positions 28 to 507 of the family's 1533-position model. The record is from RNAcentral.
GACGAACGCUGGCGGCGUGCUUAACACAUGCAAGUCGAACGGAAAGGCCCUGCUUUUGUGGGGUGCUCGAGUGGCGAACGGGUGAGUAACACGUGAGUAACCUGCCCUUGACUUUGGGAUAACUUCAGGAAACUGGUGCUAAUACCGGAUAGGAGCUCCUGCUGCAUGGUGGGGGUUGGAAAGUUUCGGCGGUUGGGGAUGGACUCGCGGCUUAUCAGCUUGUUGGUGGGGUAGUGGCUUACCAAGGCUUUGACGGGUAGCCGGCCUGAGAGGGUGACCGGCCACAUUGGGACUGAGGUACGGCCCAGACUCCUACGGGAGGCAGAAGUGGGGAAUAUUGCACAAUGGGCGGGAGCCUGAUGCAGCAGCGCCGCGUGCGGGAUGACGGCCUGCGGGUUGUAAACCGCUUUCGCCUGUGACGAAGCGUGAGUGACGGUAAUGGGUAAAGAAGCACCGGCUAACUACGUG